RNAcentral lists this long non-coding RNA (1531 nucleotides) under Olea europaea subsp. europaea. The record is from RNAcentral. Lineage: Eukaryota; Viridiplantae; Streptophyta; Magnoliopsida; Lamiales; Oleaceae.
UGACGAGCAUGUGAGCUGGAGAAAGAGUUUAGUUGUUUAAUAUGGAACAGGCAAAAUCAUGUUUUCUCAGUAGAGUGUUAAAACCUGGUUAUAUCUCCAAUGCGAGUUUUUAGCUAUUCUUGAAGUUUUUUAGCUUCUUUAAAGUAGAGUUCAACAUGAGGAGGUUGUAGAUAAUGACUACUUUUCUUCUAUUUUUAGAUUCAAUUUCUUGUUAUACGCCUUUACAGGAGGCUACAUAUCGUAAUUAAUUUGGCAUCUUGACAUUGUUUUGGUUGCUAGGUUGCUCCAUCUUAUCUUCAACACUAGUUGGAUACUUGUUGAAAUGUCAUUGAUUAAUCUUGUGGUAUGGUUGACUAAGUCCUUGCCAUACACUAAGGGUGUGUUUGAUUAUAUUUAUUUUUCAUGGAAAAUAUCAGUUUUUCAUUCAAAUUCUUACUUGGGGUGUUUGAUUGCUAUUUUUUUUUUAUGGAAAACAUUUUUCAAUUUUUGAAAAUAUGCUUAAUUUUCCUUGUUUUUAAGGAAAAUAUUUUCCUUGGGUGGAGGUGGUUUUUGUUUUCCUCAAAACAAGGAAAACAUUUUCUUUUCUAGGUGCGAAUCAAACACACACUAAGAAAAAUGUGUGUGAAGACUCUGCGCAAAAGCAUUAUUAUGAACAAUAAUUGGAUGAUUGUUGUUUUAUUUUUCACAUUAUAAACAGGAGAAAUCACCAAAACUUUUGCUUUCAUAGACUCUAGUUCUUUCUCCAAAUGUUAGUGUCCAGUGUGUUAACUCUGCAUUCCAUGUGCUUGCAGCGAAGUUGAAUCGGAAGAUGAAUUUGACCAUAGGAAUCGAAAGACUUGUGCAUGCAGGAUAAUGUAAUCGAGCUUCUCAUUGGACCAUUGUCACUUAUAUAAAGAGAGAACCAAGGAGGUGUUGCUUGAAAUGCGGUGGUAAAAAGAUUUACUAAUCAGUGUUUUGCUUGAAGUUGUACAGAGAAAAAGAAAAUUUUGGAGGGUGCUUAAGAUAGUUUCACAGAAAGGCAGAUAUCCUGCAUUCCCCUUGGCCGACUGAUCUGUUGUGUCUGUAGUCCUGUUUGAAUUACGAUUUUGAAGCAUUGAGCUUAAUUUUUUCCUUGAUCAAUAUUCUUAUAUGAACUCACUGGUGGCGCCAAUCUCCAUUUUUCCGCUUUUUCUAUUAUUUUGAUUUUGAUUUUCUUCUUUCUUCUGCUGAAGAGACAAAUGGAAUUAUGAGUUUUGUAUUUCAUAGAUGUUAAUGUGGAGUAGAAUCGUGUCUGAAAUUGUUGUAUAGUUUGCAGUGAUUUAUUUGUUUUGGAAGGCAGCAUUCAAGAUAUGUCUAGUGCAGCCUUAGAAUGUUCGACCUCAGCGAUAGUAGAGGAAAUAUGUGAUCUGCCUGUAGUUUUUGUCAGGGUCCGAGGUACUUUGGCGCAUUAGUGUCAAAAAUGUAUUGGGGACAUCAGAUUAGAUAGUAGAUCCGAGCUCAUAUUUCAUUGAAUGCAAAGGGUGAUUUUGCCUGUUUAUGUUGUUCAAGAAGA